This 497-nucleotide ribosomal RNA is filed under the name uncultured bacterium. RNAcentral describes it as "partial 16S ribosomal RNA". It matches the Rfam family "Bacterial small subunit ribosomal RNA", at positions 28 to 507 of the family's 1533-position model. The record is from RNAcentral.
GACGAACGCUGGCGGCGUGCCUAAUACAUGCAAGUUGAGCGAUGAAGAUUUGUGCUUGCACCAAUUUGAAGAGCAGCGAACGGGUGAGUAACGCGUGGGGAAUCUGCCUUUGAUCGGGGGACAACAUUUGGAAACGAAUGCUAAUACCGCAUAACAACUUUAAACAUAAGUUUUAAGUUUGAAAGAUGCAAUUGCAUCACUCAAAGAUGAUCCCGCGUUGUAUUAGCUAGUUGGUGAGGUAAAGGCUCACCAAGGCGAUGAUACAUAGCCGACCUGAGAGGGUGAUCGGCCACAUUGGGACUGAGACACGGCCCAAACUCCUACGGGAGGCAGCAGUAGGGAAGUUUCGGCCAUGGACGAAAGUCUGACCGAGAAACGCCGCGUGAGUGAAGAAGGUUUUCGGAUCGUAAAACUCUGUUGGUAGAGAAGAAAGUUGGUGAGAGUGGAAAGCUCAUCAAGUGACGGUAACUAAACAGAAAGCGACGGCUAACUACGUG